UGGGGAAUAUUGGACAAUGGGCGAAAGCCUGAUCCAGCCAUGCCGCGUGUGUGAAGAAGGUCUUCGGAUUGUAAAGCACUUUAAGUUGGGAGGAAGGGCAGUAAGCGAAUACCUUGCUGUUUUGACGUUACCGACAGAAUAAGCACCGGCUAACUCUGUGCCAGCAGCCGCGGUAAUACAGAGGGUGCGAGCGUUAAUCGGAUUUACUGGGCGUAAAGCGUGCGUAGGCGGCUAAUUGAGUCGGAUGUGAAAUCCCCGAGCUUAACUUGGGAAUUGCAUUCGAUACUGGUUAGCUAGAGUGUGGGAGAGGAUGGUAGAAUUCCAGGUGUAGCGGUGACAUGCGUAGAGAUCUGGAGGAAUACCGAUGGCGAAGGCAGCCAUCUGGCCUAACACUGACGCUGAGGUACGAAAGCAUGGGGAGCAAACAGG
Molecule: ribosomal RNA, 429 nt
Filed under: Pseudomonadota bacterium
Lineage: Bacteria; Pseudomonadati; Pseudomonadota
Description: Proteobacteria bacterium partial 16S ribosomal RNA
Rfam family: Bacterial small subunit ribosomal RNA
Source: RNAcentral